GGGAAAUAUUCCUACCACGUCUAAUGGAAGCAUUUUCACUUUCUUUACCUCUGUGCCUGUUCGGAUGGUCAAACAGCAAGCCUACCCCACACUGCUGGACAGUUACUGUUCAGCCACACCCCCACCACCCCGAAAGAAGUUGACUUCAUAAUUUCCACACUAAAAUUGUUCCUCAGCCCCAGGAGAGAACGAGCUAGGCAGGAGCUAGAAAAAUCGGGGAUGGAGAAGAUGGGUGGAAAGCAAAGGUCCUGUUUCUUCAAUUGUCAAUGACAACCGCAGUCUCGGCUGGAGGAGAGGUGAGGCUCACACCCAGCAGUCCUGGACCAUUUCCUUAGCAACGGGAGGAGAAAGACAGCUUAGACACUCGCGAGCCCCAGCGUUCUCUUGGAACGUGCCCUGGCUUCCUAACGUGGCAGCAGUUCGGCAUCUUCCCGUGGCUCCGUCAGCAGCCAAAAGGAGAAAGGUCCAUCGGAAAAAUGGCAUAUUACAAAUUUUGCUUUGGGAAGCAGGGCUCGGUUCAGACCAUUGUCAAAGGGAAGAGAGGGGGAGGCGGUUCUUAAAGCAGCCGCGGCCCCUUUGCCGCCCAAGCAGCGGCAGCCGCCGCUUUUGCGUGCACCAGGAGCCCGGGGGCGGAGAGAUGGUAAUCCGGGACUGGAUCUGACUUUCAGAAACUUAACGUAGCAUAACUUCUCCCCUUGGCAUCCCGGGCCACCCAGAGAGGGUGAAGAAGUGCCCCUCCAAACAGGAACUUUGGGGUGAAGUGUGGGAAGUACCUAUCUGGAAAGGAUAUUCUCCACCCAAUACCCCACCCGGAGCCCCUGUGAAGUUUAUGUCCCUCUGCAAUUCAUCUGCUUGCAUCAGUUGGCCGACAGAACCAACCUGCUGGGAACUGAGUGAGGAUGCUACAAGCAUCUUCUCACUUGCCUAGUGCAAGCCUAGGAUACUCCUCCUGUGUCUCCUCCCCUCCUCCUCCUUGGCAAUCUCCACCUCCUCUUCCUCUGGAACAAGGGCUUCCCCUGGAAGCUGCCGCAGUG
Molecule: long non-coding RNA, 1034 nt
Organism: Mus caroli (Ryukyu mouse)
Lineage: Eukaryota; Metazoa; Chordata; Mammalia; Rodentia; Muridae
Source: RefSeq, a predicted model, not a curated record